This 392-nucleotide ribosomal RNA is filed under the name Lobochlamys sp. MACC 460. RNAcentral describes it as "SSU rRNA". It matches the Rfam family "Eukaryotic small subunit ribosomal RNA", at positions 614 to 1015 of the family's 1831-position model. The record is from RNAcentral. Lineage: Eukaryota; Viridiplantae; Chlorophyta; Chlorophyceae; Chlamydomonadales; Chlamydomonadaceae.
CSSSSGKGGUUGCAGUUAAAAGCUCGUAGUUGGAUUUCGGGUGGGUCUUAGCGGUCCGCCUCUGGUGAGUACUGCUAAGGCCUAUCUUUCUGCCGGGGACGGGCUCCUGGGUUUAAUCGCCUGGGACUCGGAGUCGGCGAAGUGACUUUGAGUAAAUUAGAGUGUUCAAAGCAAGCCUACGCUCUGAAUACAUUAGCAUGGAAUCACACGAUAGGACUCUGGCCUAUCUUGUUGGUCUGUAGGACCGGAGUAAUGAUUAAGAGGGACAGUCGGGGGCAUUCGUAUUUCAUUGUCAGAGGUGAAAUUCUUGGAUUUAUGAAAGACGAACUUCUGCGAAAGCAUUUGCCAAGGAUGUUUUCAUUAAUCAAGAACGAAAGUUGGGGGCUCGAAGA